RNA transcript from Rattus rattus (black rat), 743 nucleotides. It is a transcript of the gene named ankyrin repeat and EF-hand domain-containing protein 1-like, with no coding region annotated. The transcript is spliced from 4 exons. Lineage: Eukaryota; Metazoa; Chordata; Mammalia; Rodentia; Muridae. The record is from RefSeq and is a predicted model, not a curated record.
GGACAUGCUGCCAUGGAUAUUGCAAAGGCAUAUGCUGAUUAUAGAAUAAUUGAUAUGAUAAAAGAAAAACUAGAUGAACUGCCCAAACCAACAGAUAAUCAAAAAAUGAAAAGCAAGCUUCCUAAACUGAAGACAGAAGUCACAGAUGUUAAGAAAGAAGAGGGAACACUGUCAUCCAUUUACGCUGUGCCAGCAAUAACAGAGGAGAAGAAAACACACAGGGAUAAUGUGGUUUACCUCAAUUCUCUGAUUACCAGUGGCUUCACUAAGAAAGUGGAUAUCACAUUUAUCCCUAAAAGGAUUUGGAGUCCUGAAGCCACAACAGCACAGCUGAUCAGGAAGAGGGAACUCCGGAGAGAGAGGUUCACAUAUGAGGUGGACUUUGAAGACUUCAUGAUGCCUUUCCAAAAGAACAUCACAGAGAAAGCUCAGGCACUGGAAGCAAUGCUCAAGAAUUAAGUCAGUACAGUAGCCUCCUGGGAGAAGUGCUCUGUGGCCUCAGAGUUUGGAGAAAGUAAGACUUUGAAGAGGAACUGAUACACAAAUCUGAUCCCCCUAGAUUAUAGUGAUUUACCUGAUGAUUUGAAAAACUCCCCUGGUUCUCUAAAACUGAAAGAGUAUUAUGGUCUUUUGUUCCUGAGGCUUCAGUAUCAAGCUCCUGCCGAAGGAAGUGAAAAAUACAACUUUCCUCAUAGGAAUUAAUGAAAUCAACAUGUAAAAUAAAAUGAACAAUAUACAAAGUA